RNAcentral lists this ribosomal RNA (900 nucleotides) under Cortinarius violaceocystidiatus. RNAcentral describes it as "partial large subunit ribosomal RNA". It matches the Rfam family "Eukaryotic large subunit ribosomal RNA", at positions 52 to 939 of the family's 3401-position model. Lineage: Eukaryota; Fungi; Basidiomycota; Agaricomycetes; Agaricales; Cortinariaceae. The record is from RNAcentral.
GGAGGAAAAGAAACUAACAAGGAUUCCCCUAGUAACUGCGAGUGAAGCGGGAAAAGCUCAAAUUUAAAAUCUGUCAGUCUUUGGCUGUCCGAGUUGUAAUCUAGAGAAGCGUUAUCCGCGCUGGACCGUGUACAAGUCUCCUGGAAUGGAGCGUCAUAGAGGGUGAGAAUCCCGUCUUUGACACGGACUGCCAGGGCUUUGUGAUGCGCUCUCAAAGAGUCGAGUUGUUUGGGAAUGCAGCUCAAAAUGGGUGGUAAAUUCCAUCUAAAGCUAAAUAUUGGCGAGAGACCGAUAGCGAACAAGUACCGUGAGGGAAAGAUGAAAAGAACUUUGGAAAGAGAGUUAAACAGUACGUGAAAUUGCUGAAAGGGAAACGCUUGAAGUCAGUCGCGUUGUCCAGGGAUCAACCUUGCUUUUGCUUGGUGUACUUUCUGGUUGACGGGUCAGCAUCAAUUUUGACUAUUGGAAAAAGAUCAAGGGAAUGUGGCAUCUUUGGAUGUGUUAUAGCCCUUGGUUGCAUACAAUGGUUGGGAUUGAGGAACUCAGCACGCCGCAAGGCCGGGUUUUAACCACGUACGUGCUUAGGAUGCUGGCAUAAUGGCUUUAAUCGACCCGUCUUGAAACACGGACCAAGGAGUCUAACAUGCCUGCGAGUGUUUGGGUGGAAAACCCGAGCGCGUAAUGAAAGUGAAAGUUGAGAUCCUUGUCAUGGGGAGCAUCGACGCCCGGACCAGACCUUUUGUGACGGUUCCGCGGUAGAGCAUGUAUGUUGGGACCCGAAAGAUGGUGAACUAUGCCUGAAUAGGGUGAAGCCAGAGGAAACUCUGGUGGAGGCUCGUAGCGAUUCUGACGUGCAAAUCGAUCGUCAAAUUUGGGUAUAGGGGCGAAAGACUAAUCGAA